RNAcentral lists this ribosomal RNA (478 nucleotides) under uncultured bacterium. RNAcentral describes it as "partial 16S ribosomal RNA". It matches the Rfam family "Bacterial small subunit ribosomal RNA", at positions 28 to 507 of the family's 1533-position model. The record is from RNAcentral.
GACGAACGCUGGCGGCGUGCUUAACACAUGCAAGUCGAACGGGAUUUAGUAAACAGAAACCUCGGUGGAAGAUUACUAAUGAGAGUGGCGAACGGGUGAGUACCGCGUGAGCAACCUGCCUAUGACAGUGGGAUAGCCUCGGGAAACCGGGAUUAAUACCGCAUAAAAUCGUAGAAACACAUGUUUUAACGGUCAAAGAUUUAUCGGUCAUAGAUGGGCUCGCGUCUGAUUAGCUAGUUGGUGAGAUAACAGCCCACCAAGGCGACGAUCAGUAGCCGGGCUGAGAGGAUGAACGGCCACAUUGGAACUGAGACACGGUCCAAACUCCUACGGGAGGCAGCAGUGGGGAAUAUUGCACAAUGGGGGAAACCCUGAUGCAGCGACGCCGCGUGAACGAAGAAGGUAUUCGUAUCGUAAAGUUCUGUCAUAUGGGAAGAUAAUGACAGUACCAUAGAAGAAAGCUCCGGCUAAAUACGUG